GAUGAAGAACGUAGCGAAAUGCGAUACUUGGUGUGAAUUGCAGAAUCCCGCGAAUCAUCGAGUUUUUGAACGCAAGUUGCGCCCGAAGCCAUUAGGCCGAGGGCACGCCUGCCUGGGCGUCACACGUCGUUGCCCCCCCAUCUACUCCUUCGGGAUUGCGGGGGGCGGAUGAUGGCCUCCCGUGCGCCUCGUCGCGCGGUUGGCAUAAAUGCCAAGUCCUCGGCGACGCACGCCACGACAAUCGGUGGUUGCGAAACCUCGGUUGCCCGUCGUGUGCGGUCGUCGCGCAUCGAGGGCUCGAAAAAAUUGCCGGGCUCCGGCUCGGCUUUCAACGCGACCCCAGGUCAGGCGGGGUUACCCGCUGAAUUUAAGCAUAUCAAUAAGCGGAGGA
RNAcentral lists this unclassified non-coding RNA (391 nucleotides) under soil metagenome. RNAcentral describes it as "partial contains 5.8S ribosomal RNA, internal transcribed spacer 2, and large subunit ribosomal RNA". The stretch from base 1 to 122 matches the Rfam family "5.8S ribosomal RNA", at positions 35 to 154 of the family's 154-position model. The record is from RNAcentral.